GGGAAUCUACCGUGCCCUGCGGAAUAGCUCCGGGAAACUGGAAUUAAUACCGCAUACGCCCUACGGGGGAAAGAUUUAUCGGGGUAUGAUGAGCCCGCGUUGGAUUAGCUAGUUGGUGGGGUAAAGGCCCACCAAGGCGACGAUCCAUAGCUGGUCUGAGAGGAUGAUCAGCCACAUUGGGACUGAGACACGGCCCAAACUCCUACGGGAGGCAGCAGUGGGGAAUAUUGGACAAUGGGCGCAAGCCUGAUCCAGCCAUGCCGCGUGAGUGAUGAAGGCCUUAGGGUUGUAAAGCUCUUUCACCGGAGAAGAUAAUGACGGUAUCCGGAGAAGAAGCCCCGGCUAACUUCGUGCCAGCAGCCGCGGUAAUACGAAGGGGGCUAGCGUUGUUCGGAAUUACUGGGCGUAAAGCGCACGUAGGCGGAUAUUUAAGUCAGGGGUGAAAUCCCAGAGCUCAACUCUGGAACUGCCUUUGAUACUGGGUAUCUUGAGUAUGGAAGAGGUAAGUGGAAUUGCGAGU
This 520-nucleotide ribosomal RNA is filed under the name uncultured bacterium. RNAcentral's name for it is "bacterial SSU rRNA". It matches the Rfam family "Bacterial small subunit ribosomal RNA", at positions 120 to 674 of the family's 1533-position model. The record is from RNAcentral.